UAAACACAGAACACUACGUGGAGCGAG
This 27-nucleotide non-coding RNA is filed under the name Mus musculus (house mouse). Lineage: Eukaryota; Metazoa; Chordata; Mammalia; Rodentia; Muridae. The record is from RNAcentral.